UGAGCCAUGGAGUCAAAAUAGAUUAUUUUGGAGCUUUAAGAUUUGACUGCCCCACUGGAUUUUGGACUUGCAUGGGGCCUGUAGCCCCUUUGUUUUGGCCAAUUUCUCCCAUUUGGAAUGGGUGUAUUUACAUGAUGCCUGUACCCCAGGUCUAUCUAGGAAGUAACUAACUUGCUUUUGAUUUUACAGGUUCAUAGGCAGAAGGGACUUGCCUUGUCUCAGAUGAGACUUUGGACUGUGAACUUUUGAGUUAAUGCUGAAAUGAGUUAAGACUUUGGGAGACUGUUGAGAGGCAUGUUUGGUUUUGAAGUAUUAGGACAUAAGAUUUGAAACGGGUCAGGGGCCGAAUGAUAUGGUUUGGCUGUGUCCUCACUCAAAUCUCAUUUUUUUUUUUUUUUGUCUUUUCUGUUUGAGACAGAGACUUGCUCUGUUGUCCAGGCUGGAAUGUAGUGGGACAAUCACAGCUUACUGCAACCUCUGCCUCCUGGGUCCAAGCAAUUCUCCUACCUCAGCCCUACCAGUAGCUGGGAUUACAGAGUCUUAAAAUUUUUCUUUUGAGCUAUUGACAGCUUUUCACAAUUUAGUGUACUCCUAUGGACAGAAUUUAGAGCAUAUUUGUUUCUCUCUACCUGAUUUAUCAAGAAUUUGGAAAUUAUUUGUGAGUAUUCUUAACUUAUAACAAUACAAUUAUUUGCAUAAAUGCAAUAAGAAUCUGUUUUUGUUUGUAACAGGACACAAUUGAAGAAACUAGUUAUUUUAAUAAGGCUUUGACUGGAAGGGUGGGCUUUCCUGUGAGGAUUCAAAAUUUACUUAUGAAGCCAAUAAAGCCCUUGGAAAAACUGGCCUACAUAUUUUGUGUAUAGUGUAUGCACAGGGUUUCUGACCUGUAGUAAAUAAAGAAUGUCACUUUCCGACACAGAAGCCUCAGGUUUAUCUUGGAACCUGAAGAGGAGAGAAAAUUCACCCAACUUAAAUGAUAGCACAAAUCCAUGACUGAGCUCAGCUUUAAAAAGCCUUAUCUGAGAUUCGUUCUAUAGAACAAAGUUCCAUCAAGCCAAUUUAAAAGCCUAUGUAAAAGAUAAUUAUUCUUGCUGCACCGUUUACAAAUAAAUAAGUCAAGCAUAAUAAGCAAACCAGUCCUACCAUG
This 1147-nucleotide long non-coding RNA is filed under the name Callithrix jacchus (white-tufted-ear marmoset). RNAcentral describes it as "lncRNA (ENSCJAG00000087172.1)". Lineage: Eukaryota; Metazoa; Chordata; Mammalia; Primates; Cebidae. The record is from RNAcentral.